This 520-nucleotide ribosomal RNA is filed under the name uncultured Leucothrix sp. RNAcentral describes it as "bacterial SSU rRNA". It matches the Rfam family "Bacterial small subunit ribosomal RNA", at positions 523 to 1042 of the family's 1533-position model. Lineage: Bacteria; Pseudomonadati; Pseudomonadota; Gammaproteobacteria; Thiotrichales; Thiotrichaceae. The record is from RNAcentral.
CUACGGAGGGUGCAAGCGUUAAUCGGAAUUACUGGGCGUAAAGCGCGCGUAGGCGGUUAUUUAAGUCAGAUGUGAAAGCCCCGGGCUCAACCUGGGAAUUGCCUCUGAUACUGGGUAACUAGAGUUUGGAAGAGGGGAGUAGAAUUUCAGGUGUAGCGGUGAAAUGCAUAGAGAUCUGAAGGAAUACCAGUGGCGAAGGCGGCUCCCUGGUCCAGAACUGACGCUGAGGUGCGAAAGCGUGGGUAGCAAACGGGAUUAGAUACCCCGGUAGUCCACGCCGUAAACGAUGUCAACUAGCCGUUGGGUGCCUUGUGCACUUAGUGGCGCAGCUAACGCAUUAAGUUGACCGCCUGGGGAGUACGGUCGCAAGACUAAAACUCAAAGGAAUUGACGGGGGCCCGCACAAGCGGUGGAGCAUGUGGUUUAAUUCGAUGCAACGCGAAGAACCUUACCAUCCCUUGACAUCCUAGGACCGCCAGAGAGAUUUGGCUUUCACUUCGGUGACCUAGUGACAGGUGCU